UGGGGAAUCUUGGACAAUGGGGGCAACCCUGAUCCAGCCAUGCCGCGUGAGUGAUGAAGGCCUUAGGGUUGUAAAGCUCUUUCACCGGUGAAGAUAAUGACGGUAGCCGGAGAAGAAGCCCCGGCUAACUCCGUGCCAGCAGCCGCGGUAAUACGGAGGGGGUUAGCGUUGUUCGGAAUUACUGGGCGUAAAGCGCACGUAGGCGGACCAGAAAGUUGGGGGUGAAAUCCCGGGGGCUCAACCCCGGAACUGCCUCCAAAACUAUUGGUCUAGAGUUCGAGAGAGGUGAGUGGAAUUCCAAGUGUAGAGGUGAAAUUCGUAGAUAUUUGGAGGAACACCAGUGGCGAAGGCGGCUCACUGGCUCGAUACUGACGCUGAGGUGCGAAAGUGUGGGGAGCAAACAGGAUUAG
This 410-nucleotide ribosomal RNA is filed under the name uncultured bacterium. RNAcentral's name for it is "bacterial SSU rRNA". It matches the Rfam family "Bacterial small subunit ribosomal RNA", at positions 355 to 781 of the family's 1533-position model. The record is from RNAcentral.